Molecule: ribosomal RNA, 301 nt
Filed under: uncultured bacterium
Lineage: Bacteria
Description: partial 16S ribosomal RNA
Rfam family: Bacterial small subunit ribosomal RNA
Source: RNAcentral
CAGCAGCCGCGGGAAUACAGAGGGUGCAAGCGUUAAUCGGAAUUACUGGGCGUAAAGCGCGCGUAGGUGGUUUGUUAAGUUGGAUGUGAAAGCCCCGGGCUCAACCUGGGAACUGCAUCCAAAACUGGCAAGCUAGAGUACGGUAGAGGGUGGUGGAAUUUCCUGUGUAGCGGUGAAAUGCGUAGAUAUAGGAAGUAACACCAGUGGCGAAGGCGACCACCUGGACUGAUACUGACACUGAGGUGCGAAAGCGUGGGGAGCAAACAGGAUUAGAUACCCGAGUAGUCCCUGUCUCUUAUAC